Molecule: ribosomal RNA, 279 nt
Filed under: uncultured bacterium
Lineage: Bacteria
Description: partial 16S ribosomal RNA
Rfam family: Bacterial small subunit ribosomal RNA
Source: RNAcentral
CUUGCUAAGUUUGAUGGCGACCGGCGCACGGGUGAGUAACACGUAUCCAACCUGCCGAUGACUCGGGGAUAGCCUUUCGAAAGAAAGAUUAAUACCCGAUGGCAUAGUUCUUCCGCAUGGUAGAACUAUUAAAGAAUUUCGGUCAUCGAUGGGGAUGCGUUCCAUUAGGUUGUUGGCGGGGUAACGGCCCACCAAGCCUUCGAUGGAUAGGGGUUCUGAGAGGAAGGUCCCCCACAUUGGAACUGAGACACGGUCCAAACUCCUACGGGAGGAAGCAUG